RNAcentral lists this ribosomal RNA (492 nucleotides) under uncultured bacterium. RNAcentral describes it as "partial 16S ribosomal RNA". It matches the Rfam family "Bacterial small subunit ribosomal RNA", at positions 29 to 507 of the family's 1533-position model. The record is from RNAcentral.
AGUGAACGCUGGCGGCAGGCCUAACACAUGCAAGUCGAACGGUAGAAGAGUAAUAGCUUGUGCAUACGGGGGCGGACGGGCGGGUGAGUCAUGGGAACCUCGCAAUUUACUUUUUAGUAGGGGCGGAAGAAGGGGAAAAUACCCUAAUACUUCAGACGACCUACGUGGGAAAGCCGGGGAACUUCCGACCUUGCGCGAUUGUAUGGGGCGAUGUCGGGUUGGCUGGUUGGCGGGGUAACGGCCCACCAAGGCGGGGAUCCGUAGCUGGGCUGAGAGGCUGGUCAGUCACACUGGAACUGAGCCACGGUCCAGGGUCCUACGGGAGGCAGCAGUGGGGAAUAUUGGACAAUGGGCGCAAGCCUGAUCCAGCCAUCCCGCGUGUGUGAAGAAGGCCUUCGGGUUGUAAAGCCCUUUUGUUGGGUAGGAAACGCAGCAAGUUAAUACCACGCUGUUCUGACGGUACCAACAGAAUAAGCACCGGCUAACUUCGUG